GUGGUUUAAUUCGAAGCAACGCGAAGAACCUUACCUAAGCUUGACAUCCUAAUGACAUCUCCUUAUACGGAGAGUUCCCAUAGGGGACAUUGGUGACAGGUGGUGCAUGGUCGUCGUCAGCACGUGUCGUGAUACGUUGGGUUAAGUCCCGCAACGAGCGCAACCCUUGUCUUUAGUUGCCAUCAUUAAGUUGGGCACUCUAGAGAGACUGCCAGGGAUAACCUGGAGGAAGGUGGGGAUGACGUCAAAUCAUCAUGCCCCUUAUGCUUAGGGCUACACACGUGCUACAAUGGGUAGUACAGAGGGUUGCCAAGCCGUAAGGUGGAGCUAAUCCCUUAAAGCUACUCUCAGUUCGGAUUGUAGGCUGAAACUCGCCUACAUGAAGCUGGAGUUACUAGUAAUCGCAGAUCAGAAUGCUGCGGUGAAUGCGUUCCCGGGUCUUGUACACACCGCCCGUCACACCACGGGAGUUGGAGACGCCCGAAGCCGAUUAUCUAACCUUUUGGAAGAAGUCGUCGAAGGUGGAAUCAAUAACUGGGGUGAAGUCGUAACAAGGUAGCCGUAUCGGAAGGUGCGGCUGGAUCACCUCCUUUCUAAGGA
This 600-nucleotide ribosomal RNA is filed under the name Clostridioides difficile. Its description in RNAcentral is "bacterial SSU rRNA". It matches the Rfam family "Bacterial small subunit ribosomal RNA", at positions 941 to 1533 of the family's 1533-position model. Lineage: Bacteria; Bacillati; Bacillota; Clostridia; Peptostreptococcales; Peptostreptococcaceae. The record is from RNAcentral.